CAGCCGCCGCGGGAAUACGGAGGGAGCUAGCGUUAUUCGGAAUUACUGGGCGUAAAGCGCACGUAGGCGGCUUUGUAAGUUAGAGGUGAAAGCCUGGAGCUCAACUCCAGAAUUGCCUUUAAGACUGCAUCGCUCGAAUCCAGGAAAGGUGAGUGGAAUUCCGUGUGUAGAGGUGAAAUUCGUAGAUAUUCGGAAGAACACCAGUGGCGAAGGCGGCUCACUGGACUGGUAUUGACGCUGAGGUGCGAAAGCGUGGGGAGCAAACAGGAUUAGAUACCCCGGUAGUCCCUGUCUCUUAUAC
Molecule: ribosomal RNA, 301 nt
Filed under: uncultured bacterium
Lineage: Bacteria
Description: partial 16S ribosomal RNA
Rfam family: Bacterial small subunit ribosomal RNA
Source: RNAcentral